GAUGAACGCUGGCGGCGUGCCUAAUACAUGCAAGUCGAGCGAACGGACGAGAAGCUUGCUUCUCUGAUGUUAGCGGCGGACGGGUGAGUAACACGUGGAUAACCUACCUAUAAGACUGGGAUAACUUCGGGAAACCGGAGCUAAUACCGGAUAAUAUUUUGAACCGCAUGGUUCAAAAGUGAAAGACGGUCUUGCUGUCACUUAUAGAUGGAUCCGCGCCGCAUUAGCUAGUUGGUAAGGUAACGGCUUACCAAGGCAACGAUGCAUAGCCGACCUGAGAGGGUGAUCGGCCACACUGGAGCUGAGACACGGUCCAGACUCCUACGGGAGGCAGCAGUAGGGAAUCUUCCGCAAUGGGCGAAAGCCUGACGGAGCAACGCCGCGUGAGUGAUGAAGGUCUUAGGAUCGUAAAACUCUGUUAUUAGGGAAGAACAUAUGUGUAAGUAACUGUGCACAUCUUGACGGUACCUAAUCAGAAAGCCACGGCUAACUACGUG
RNAcentral lists this ribosomal RNA (497 nucleotides) under uncultured bacterium. Its description in RNAcentral is "partial 16S ribosomal RNA". It matches the Rfam family "Bacterial small subunit ribosomal RNA", at positions 28 to 507 of the family's 1533-position model. The record is from RNAcentral.